RNAcentral lists this long non-coding RNA (644 nucleotides) under Androctonus crassicauda. The record is from RNAcentral. Lineage: Eukaryota; Metazoa; Arthropoda; Arachnida; Scorpiones; Buthidae.
CAUUAUAACAUAGUCCCAGCAAAGAUACUUUCUCAAUAUUAUUAUUUAUUACUUAUGAUCAAAAUAUUAAGGAUUUAUUGGAUUAGAUAAAUAAGAGUGCAGGUAAUAAAUAUAAUUUAAUAAAUAAAUUUUAUUUUGUCAAUGAAUAAUAAUGAAAAAAUUAAAUAUAGUAAGUUGUAUACUCAUCAGUACAUAGUGCAUCCCCAAAACAUUGCAAACUUGAUAUUGUUGGGAGAGAAUGUUGGUGCAUUGUACUCCUUGAUGACAACCCAGGAUCCUAUAUGGCAACAGCAAAAGCAAACUGUAUUUCCAAGUUUAGAUAUGAAUGCUUCAAUCAUCUCCCUACAAUCUUGACUUCUUCCAGCUUAAAAGAAAAUGCUGGAAGGAUAGCUUUUCAUCAGCAAUGAAGAUAUGAAACAAGCCAUUUGAACUUUCAUCCAUAUGCAAAGCACAGACUCUAAUGAGAGGGGGGCUUCUUUAAUCUUGUUAAGCAAUAUGAUAAGUGUAUCAAUAUCAGUAGGGACUAAGUUGAAAUAUAAUAUAAGAAUAUUUCUUCUUAUACAUAAUAUGUUUGGUCUGCAGAAUAAAAACUCCUGUUGAUAGCAGACUUGCAAAACUUAUUUUUGACUGUCCAUUGAAUAGCU